UGGCUCAGUGGUAGAGCGCUUGCCUUGCAUGCCUGAGGCCCUGGGUUCGAUUCCCCAG
This is a non-coding RNA of Dipodomys ordii (Ord's kangaroo rat), 58 nucleotides long. The record is from Rfam. NCBI's taxonomy places the organism in Eukaryota, Metazoa, Chordata, Mammalia, Rodentia, Heteromyidae.